CCUACGGGGGGCAGCAGUGAGGAAUAUUGGUCAAUGGGCGUAAGCCUGACGCAGCGACGCCGCGUGAGGGAUGAAGGUCUUCGGAUCGUAAACCUCUGUCAGCAGGGAAGAACGGUCACUGUGCUAAUCAGCAGUGAAUUGACGGUACCUGAACAGGAAGCACCGGCUAACUCCGUGCCAGCAGCCGCGGUAAUACGGGGGGUGCGAGCGUUAAUCGGAAUUACUGGGCGUAAAGCGCUCGUAGGCGGGAUGACAAGUCAAGGGUGAAAUCCCCGGGCUCAACGGGGGAACUGCCUUUGAAACGGGCAAACUGGAGUGUGUGAGAGGAUAGUGGAAUUCCAGGUGUAGGAGUGAAAUGCGUAGAUAUCUGGAGGAACAUCAGUGGCGAAGGCGACUAUCUGGCACAUAACUGACGCUGAGGAGCGAAAGCGUGGGUAGCAAACAGGAUUAGAUACCCUGGUAGUC
This 465-nucleotide ribosomal RNA is filed under the name uncultured bacterium. RNAcentral describes it as "partial 16S ribosomal RNA". It matches the Rfam family "Bacterial small subunit ribosomal RNA", at positions 338 to 795 of the family's 1533-position model. The record is from RNAcentral.